CCGUGUGGCGGCCCCUGUAAAAAGGUUGGAANCAACUUGGGUGGAGGGAUUUUAACCGUAGAGUCGGGUUGCUUAGUACUGCAGCCCUAAGUAGGUGGUAAACUCCAUCUAAGGCUAAAUACUACCACGAGUCCGAUAUUUGACAAGUACCGUGAGGGAAAGCUGAAAAGGACUCUGAAGAGAGAGUUCAAGAGGACGUGAAACCAUUAGAAGCUGAAACGGGUGGAACUGUGAAGGUGGAAAGAGGGGAUUCAGGCUGUGGGCAUAGACAUUGGCUUGAGUUUUUGUAUUGUGAAUGGACCCGGCAUACGAGUGAGUUGCCGGUGCUUUUCUUGCCUUUGUUUUGUGUCGGCGGGCUUAAUUCUCCCUCGAGUACUAAACGUGGCGACCCGCUGGACGGACCCCGAGGGCCCUUAAGGACUGGUAGCCUAUAUCUUUGGUGUGGGUGAUGACCUUAU
RNAcentral lists this ribosomal RNA (458 nucleotides) under Macrobrachium lingyunense. RNAcentral's name for it is "eukaryotic LSU rRNA". It matches the Rfam family "Eukaryotic large subunit ribosomal RNA", at positions 208 to 611 of the family's 3401-position model. Lineage: Eukaryota; Metazoa; Arthropoda; Malacostraca; Decapoda; Palaemonidae. The record is from RNAcentral.